GACGAACGCUGGCGGCGCGCUGAACACAUGCACGUCGAACGGCCAGGCCCUGCCAUUGUGGGUUGCUCGAGGGGCGAACGGGUGCGUAACACGAGAGUCACCUGCCCUUGCCUUUGUACUACCUCCACGACACUCGGGCGAAUACCGUACAUCAGGCCCCCAUCCGCGGGGGGAGUGGGAAAUAUUCCGCGGUUGGGGGUGAUCCCGCGGCUUAUCAGCGUGUUGGUGUGGUAGUGGCUUACCAAGGCUGCGGCGGGUAGCCGGCCUGCGAGGGUGACCGGCCACCUUGCGACUGAGGUACGGCCCAGCCUCCUACGGGGGGCAGCGGUGGCGAAUAUUGCACAAUGGGCGGAAGCCUGAUGCAGCGCCGCCGCGCGCGCGAUGACGGCCUUCGGGUUGUCAACCGCUUUCGCCUGUGACGAAGCGUGAGUGACGGUAAUGGGUCAAGAAGCACCGGCUACCCUCGUG
This 468-nucleotide ribosomal RNA is filed under the name uncultured bacterium. Its description in RNAcentral is "partial 16S ribosomal RNA". It matches the Rfam family "Bacterial small subunit ribosomal RNA", at positions 28 to 507 of the family's 1533-position model. The record is from RNAcentral.